AUUCUAUAAAUAGGCUGGAUCUAUAUUUUCCUAAUUCAAUUUGCAUUGAUGCUUAUAGGUCUUGGUGCUACAAUCAAUGUUGCAAAACAAAAACCAGGCUCUUCUGUUGCUAUCUUUGGACUUGGAGCUGUUGGCCUUGCAGUGAAAAGAGGGGCAAGGAUCUUUGGUGCUUCUUGAAUUAUUGGAGUUGAUUUAGUUUCCAGUCGAUUUGAAUUAGCUAAGAAGUUUGGGGUAAAUGAGUUUGUAAACCCAAAAGAGCCUGACAAACCUGUGCAACAGGUAAUUGCUGAAAUGACAAAUGGAGGUGUAGAUCGAGCUGUUGAAUGUACCGGUAGCAUCCAGGCCAUGAUAUAUAUAUCGAAGAAGAUUUUCUGGAAAUGGAGAAUGGGCGAAUCGUAAGUAAUGGAGAGGACGAUAUGAUGACAACAGUUAAAUGGCCAAUUCUUAUUUGGAAGAGCACAAUAAUCAAGAACAUACCAUAAGUACCAAUAUUCCAACUCUAUCCAAGGAAAAACUUGUAUUUGUUUGGUUAUAUUGAUGCUAACACAAAUAAACUGCGUCUUUAUCAAUUUGUUUCAGGGCUUGCUUUGGUGUUUUGAGAUUUGUCAUGGAGAGUGGUGCCAAGGGAUUGCUAGGUUUGUGAUAAAUAUACAACUUUGAGCUCUUGUUUGUUAUGUUGCUUUCUUUAAUGACUAUUUGUUUUUAUUUUUGUUUCGUUUGAGCAUGUCAUUAUCAGUGGAAAAAUAAUAGCUCAGAGUUCUAAAUCCAUGAAGUUCAAAGAUGGUUACAUGAUUUAUUCUCGACUUCCAGUCAAAUACUACAUUGACUUUUCAGUAACUUUGUUACUUUGUUUGUAGACCAUAAAAUACUCACUUUUGCAGCCUGAAAUAAGAGCAACAACAAUAACUUUGAACAUGUCAAAUUUCACAGCUUUGGAGUUGUUAAAGCUCUGCCCAAGAGAUUUUAUUAGCCUUAAAAUUGAAGAAAUGUUAACUGAAAUAUGGGUUCAAGGGAAACAUUGAUGUUAGUGGCUAUUGUUAUCGCAAUGAUGACUUUUCACUCAACAAUAAGUCCUCCAAGAUGUGAUGCUUCUUAUAAGUGGAUUCCCCCUUAAGAAUAACAUACGUAAUGGGAGUCUUGACAAUCGCUAUGAUCGUCGCAGUCAUAUUCAUGGCACUCACAUGUGUGUUUGCAGAGGGUUUGGUAAAGGAUUUUAUCAGAAGUCAGAACUCAUCAUCAGAUUGGCUGCAUCGCGGUCCUCUAUAGCCGCAAUUCCUACUGUUAAGAUUGGGUCGAAGCAUCUUCAGUCAGAUCCAUCGUGUCUAGUAUGCCAAGAUGACUUUGAUUAGGGGACUGGUGCAAAACAAAUGAUGUGUAAGCAUAUGUUUCACCCAGAUUGUAUUGUAGCGUGGUUGGUUCAGCAUAACACCUGCCCUAUUUGCCGUGAAGAAUUGCCACCAAAGGGAUCGAGCGGUAGCCGUAACUCAAAUAGAAGCGGUGGAAGCAGAAAUCCGUUUUCCUUCUUGUGGCCUUUUGUCUCUUCUAAUUUUAGAACUAAUGAUAGAGCAAUGGAAUGAUGUUGAUUGCUCAGAGUGAAACCGUA
This is a long non-coding RNA of Vicia villosa (hairy vetch), 1603 nucleotides long. RefSeq lists it as uncharacterized. The transcript is spliced from 5 exons. Lineage: Eukaryota; Viridiplantae; Streptophyta; Magnoliopsida; Fabales; Fabaceae. The record is from RefSeq and is a predicted model, not a curated record.